RNAcentral lists this ribosomal RNA (199 nucleotides) under uncultured bacterium. RNAcentral's name for it is "partial 16S ribosomal RNA". It matches the Rfam family "Bacterial small subunit ribosomal RNA", at positions 336 to 526 of the family's 1533-position model. The record is from RNAcentral.
CUCCUACGGGAGGCAGCAGUAGGGAAUAUUGCUCAAUGGGGGAAACCCUGAAGCAGCAACGCCGCGUGAGUGAUGAAGGCCUUCGGGUCGUAAAGCUCUGUUGUACGGGAAGAACGCGGAUAUAGCUAACAUCUAUAUCCGGUGACGGUACCGUAUAAGAAAGGGCCGGCUAACUUCGUGCCAGCCGCCGCGGUAAUUC